RNAcentral lists this unclassified non-coding RNA (162 nucleotides) under Colacogloea philyla. Its description in RNAcentral is "ITS 1". The record is from RNAcentral. Lineage: Eukaryota; Fungi; Basidiomycota; Microbotryomycetes; Colacogloeaceae.
AUGAAUAUUAGGGUGCUCUUUUCAUCAAAGAGGCCUGACCUUCAUUCUUCUACCCUGUGCACUAUUUCUAUUUGGCAGUUGGUAGUAGGGCUUGUCCCUACGACUCUGCUGAAUUCACUCUUAAACUCUACAAGUCUAAGAAUGUUAAAACUAUAAACUAAA